UCUCAAUUUGAAUGAUUACCUGGUCUAAUUAAACGUUAAAAAGAAAUUAGUGCCUAAUGGGGUAAAGGUUUUUCUCAUGAGUAAAUUAUCGAUUUUUUUAUGAGUCCUUAUUAUUAGGCAUUCCCUUUAUGGGUUAGCCAUGAAUGUGUAGAAGAAGCAGUAUAUUGAUAAAGAAAAGAUAUUUUUUUCCAAAAUCAAAAGAGCGAUUGGGUUGAAAAAAUAAAGGAUUUCUAACCGUCUUCUUAUCCUAUAACGAACAUAAAUAAAUUAGAUGGCAAAAGAAAAGAUAGGAUAGAGAAUCCGUUGAUGAAUCCGCCUGUCUCCGAGGUAUCUAUUCUUUUCUUACUAUAAUACCUUGUUUUGACUGUAUCGCACUAUGUAUCAUUUAAUAACCGAAUAGAUCCCCUAUCUUUGGUUCAAAUCGAAUUUGAAAUGGAGGAAUUUCAAGUAUAUUUAGAACUAAAUAGAUCCCGCCGACACGAC
RNAcentral lists this long non-coding RNA (483 nucleotides) under Gossypium raimondii (Peruvian cotton). Its description in RNAcentral is "long non-coding RNA (GRAI_LNC005074)". Lineage: Eukaryota; Viridiplantae; Streptophyta; Magnoliopsida; Malvales; Malvaceae. The record is from RNAcentral.